AUCAGAAGCCAGUAAUAACCGUGAACCUUACGUUGUGUUUUAUAUGACUUGGGUCGAGGAUGUCGCCUUGAUGGAAGGUUCUGUAGUUUCGAAACGAAAGGCAUCUCAUUUAGUGUUACCUUUAUUGAUCGUAAGAUGUCAAAGGCUUGGUCCUCACGAAGAAGGAUUUCACUUCUUCUUUUUGUCAAGUUGUAUGGGCGAUUGUUUGAGUCUAGCUUUUAAAAAUCAAGUCUUUUGAGUCCUCUCACUGUGAGAAUGAACUGUACAAAGACUGCAGAAUUUUUCGCUGCGAAAUCAUUUGGUUUGGGUCUAGUUAGUCAGGUCAAAGUACAGAAGUGCAGAGGUUCUGUAGCACAAAAGCAGUCAUUUAAAUUCGCAUGUAGAAAAUAAUUGUCGCAACUAAGCCUCAUGUCAAAGUGGCAACCUCUUGCACUACUAUAUCUAGCAGAGUAAAUUUGUCUCCAUCGUUGCAAUUAACAGUGUAUGACAAAAAUAUAACGUUUGGAACUGCAAAGUCUAUUACUUUGAAGGUUGCCUUUCGUUGUAUGCAGAUUAUCAUAAUGGGAAGAUUAGAUGCUGAUUGUUUUUUCUUAUAGUGUUAUAUGGACGAACGA
This 614-nucleotide long non-coding RNA is filed under the name Physcomitrium patens. RNAcentral's name for it is "long non-coding RNA (PPAT_LNC010369)". The record is from RNAcentral. Lineage: Eukaryota; Viridiplantae; Streptophyta; Bryopsida; Funariales; Funariaceae.